Non-coding RNA from Carica papaya (papaya), 1206 nucleotides. The record is from RefSeq and is a predicted model, not a curated record. NCBI's taxonomy places the organism in Eukaryota, Viridiplantae, Streptophyta, Magnoliopsida, Brassicales, Caricaceae.
UCAGGAUAUGGAGAUUCACCUAAUAGUAAAGACACAUAAUGACCUUUUUCCUCUGUGUAAUCUCUUUUUAUUUAUUUCUUCAGUUUCCUCACCCAUAACUACUACCUCCCUCUGUUUGUUAUACGAAUUGACCAAAGGUUAGUCUGUAGAUUCUUACAUCGAUCUUAUCACCUUUCACCAGCUUCCUACUUUGUGUCCUUCUGAAAUAAAGAUCCACUUCACUACUCGCCCUUUCUCUUAUGUUAGCACCAACAAUCUCCCAUUUCAAUUUCAUCUCAUCGCCACCCAAAGGUUGUGCCUUUUCCCGGUUGUGUUCCCCCGUGUUUUCCCCCCUUCCUCAAGUAAAAGUCUGCAAAUGCAUCCAUUAACCGCUCCACCUCCUUUUCCUCUAACGAAUUUGACACCUGAAAUCAUGUUAUGUUCUCAUUAAUGCUCGUAUCGUCCAUCUUCUUCCCCUCACAAAUUGCGUCAAACAAUUUAUUGUUUAUUACUAGGAACUUUCUUUGUUACGUUGCCAUCUUCUCUGCCCAUCUUGGUCGGCCCAAGAAACCAACACAACUUCCUUCUUCCACCUUUUUGCCCUAGUGACCCAUUUUCCUUUUCACUUUCUUGCACCUUGACCCUCUCGAACAACACACUCGCCUCUCUUUCUCUCCUUAGGGUCUGUUUGGAUGAUAGUUCAGUGAAUAUGGGUUUAUUAUUAUUCUUCUUCUAAACCCGACAUUGAAGAGCCACAAACCAUCUUCAUCUUCAGCUUCUCUUAUUUGAUCAGUUCCUUCAUGGUCGAUUGAACGAAAAUUGUUAUUAGGUGUCGUUCUAUUUUGGGAAGCCUGAAUAGGCGAGUUACGUGUGUGUUUGUGGCCAUCUCUGUUGUGGUGUGUGUGUGGCCUGUGUUGGCAGAGAUGAUGAAUUGAACAAGCCCUAAUGGUCAAUUGGCAGAGAGGACCAGAUAAUAGAUGGUCCGAAUGGGAGGAAAGAUGGUAGAUAUAUGCUGUAAUUGAGGCUAGAGACAUGGCCAUUUCUCUUUGGGAGGCUGUUGCUUAUUCUGGAUACCAAGAUUUUAAGUAUAAUUGUGUAUUGAAAGGAAAAAGGAAUUUUCAAACAAGAACUUAAGAUAAACAAAGAAAAUGAAAGGAAACUUGAAGAAAAGGGUUGUAGAGAAUAGUAAGUUUCUUAAAAGUUUGUUUAUAUGAUUUGAAAGAAAGA